GAUGAAGAACGUAGCGAAAUGCGAUAAGUAAUGUGAAUUGCAGAAUUCAGUGAAUCAUCGAAUCUUUGAACGCACAUUGUGCCCGCCAGUAUUCUGGCGGGCAUGCCUGUUCGAGCGUCAUUUCAACCAUCAAGCCCCAGGCUUGUGUUGGGGACCUGCGGCUGCCGCAGGCCCUGAAAACCAGUGGCGGGCUCGCUGUCACACCGGGCGUAGUAGAUUUUAUCUCGCUCAGGGCGUGCUGCGGGUUCCGGCCGUUAAAAAGCCUUUUUUACCCAAGGUUGACGUCGGAUCAGGUAGGAAGACCCGCUGAACUUAAGCAUAUCAAAAGCGGAGGA
Molecule: unclassified non-coding RNA, 335 nt
Filed under: soil metagenome
Description: partial contains 5.8S ribosomal RNA, internal transcribed spacer 2, and large subunit ribosomal RNA
Rfam family: 5.8S ribosomal RNA (bases 1-120)
Source: RNAcentral